RNAcentral lists this transfer RNA (64 nucleotides) under Ceratovacuna keduensis. RNAcentral's name for it is "tRNA-His". Lineage: Eukaryota; Metazoa; Arthropoda; Insecta; Hemiptera; Hormaphididae. The record is from RNAcentral.
UAUUUAAAUAGUUUAUUAUAAAAUAUUAAUUUGUGGAAUUAAAGAUUAUGUUAUAUUUAAAUAA